CCCCCCACACUGGGACUGAGACACGGCCCAGACUCCUACGGGAGGCAGCAGUGAGGAAUAUUGGUCAAUGGGCGGAAGCCUGAACCAGCCAAGUCGCGUGAGGGAUUAAGGCCCUGCGGGUCGUAAACCUCUUUUGCCGGGGAGCAGUGGUCCGGACGCGUCCGGGCCGGGAGAGUACCCGGAGAAAAAGCAUCGGCUAACUCCGUGCCAGCAGCCGCGGUAAUACGGAGGAUGCGAGCGUUAUCCGGAUUUAUUGGGUUUAAAGGGUGCGUAGGCGGGCAUUUAAGCCGGCGGUCAAAUGUCGGGGCUCAACCCCGGCCUGCCGUCGGAACUGGGUGCCUUGAGUGGGCGAGAAGUAUGCGGAAUGCGUGGUGUAGCGGUGAAAUGCAUAGAUAUCACGCAGAACCCCGAUUGCGAAGGCAGCAUACCGGCGCCCGACUGACGCUGAGGCACGAAAGUGCGGGUAUCGAACAGGAUUAGAUACCCUGGUAGUCCGCACAGUAAACGAUGGAUGCUAUCUGUCCGGGCCGAAUGAGGCCUGG
RNAcentral lists this ribosomal RNA (542 nucleotides) under uncultured bacterium. RNAcentral's name for it is "bacterial SSU rRNA". It matches the Rfam family "Bacterial small subunit ribosomal RNA", at positions 304 to 842 of the family's 1533-position model. The record is from RNAcentral.